This 339-nucleotide unclassified non-coding RNA is filed under the name soil metagenome. Its description in RNAcentral is "partial contains 5.8S ribosomal RNA, internal transcribed spacer 2, and large subunit ribosomal RNA". The stretch from base 1 to 120 matches the Rfam family "5.8S ribosomal RNA", at positions 35 to 154 of the family's 154-position model. The record is from RNAcentral.
GAUGAAGAACGUAGUGAAAUGCGAUAAGUAAUGUGAAUUGCAGAAUUCAGUGAAUCAUCGAAUCUUUGAACGCACAUUGCGCCCGCCAGUAUUCUGGCGGGCAUGCCUGUCCGAGCGUCAUUUCAACCAUCAAGCCCCCGGGCUUGUGUUGGGGACCUGCGGCUGCCCGCAGGCCCUGAAAACCAGUGGCGGGCUCGCUGUCACACCGAGCGUAGUAGCAAUCACCUCGCUCAGGGCGUGCUGCGGGUUCCGGCCGCUAAACAGCCUUACAAAACCCAAGGUUGACCUCGGAUCAGGUAGGAAGACCCGCUGAACUUAAGCAUAUCAAUAAGCGGAGGA